Molecule: long non-coding RNA, 415 nt
Filed under: Trifolium pratense (red clover)
Lineage: Eukaryota; Viridiplantae; Streptophyta; Magnoliopsida; Fabales; Fabaceae
Description: long non-coding RNA (TPRA_LNC001377)
Source: RNAcentral
UUUUUUUUUUUUAUUGCUGGUGGGUCAUUCCAGAUCUGGUUCAUCUCUGCGUUUCCAGUCUGUUUGUACUACGUUUCUUGAUUCCUUCGUCUCAUUCCAAAUCCAUUAUACUAUUUGUUUUUUUGUUCCGGAUCUGAACUAAUCAACCCAUCUAAACUCACACCACCAAGAUCCAUUUGGAAAAAGAAAAAAACAGAACAAGAACUUGAGAGAGAGGUAAAGUUGUAGCAAUAUAAGUUAUGUUUGAUAGAUUGCAUGUUAGAGUGGGAGGUGAAUGAGCAUGAGUGACUAUUGUGUUGUGUGAGGUUUGUUGCUGCUGUGGAAGCUGGUGGUUUGAGUUUUGCAGCUGUGUUUUCCUUCUGUGUAGUGCUGCUUCCUUUUGGGUGUUGUUUGAUAGUUGCUGCUGUGUUGGCUG